UACGUAGGGGGCAAGCGUUAUCCGGAUUUACUGGGUGUAAAGGGAGCGUAGACGGCAUAGCAAGUCUGAAGUGAAAGCCCAAGGCUCAACCAUGGGACUGCUUUGGAAACUGUUAAGCUAGAGUGCUGGAGAGGUAAGCGGAAUUCCUAGUGUAGCGGUGAAAUGCGUAGAUAUUAGGAAGAACACCAGUGGCGAAGGCGGCUUACUGGACAGUAACUGACGUUGAGGCUCGAAAGCGUGGGGAGCAAACAGG
This 253-nucleotide ribosomal RNA is filed under the name uncultured bacterium. RNAcentral describes it as "partial 16S ribosomal RNA". It matches the Rfam family "Bacterial small subunit ribosomal RNA", at positions 524 to 776 of the family's 1533-position model. The record is from RNAcentral.